Molecule: long non-coding RNA, 249 nt
Filed under: Elaeis guineensis (African oil palm)
Lineage: Eukaryota; Viridiplantae; Streptophyta; Magnoliopsida; Arecales; Arecaceae
Description: long non-coding RNA (EGUI_LNC012976)
Source: RNAcentral
AUGAGGGAACAAACAGUCUCUCAACUCUAGGUCUCCAUCACUACCUCCACUACCACUGUCCAAGAAUUCGGCACCACUACCACAACCAUCGGCUUCACCAUCGAUGCUAGAAUUUUUUUCUGCCCUUGAAAGAUUUGGAAGGGCUUGUCAAAGGGUGACCCCCAACAAGUCUCCUCCCCCACCACCAAGAAGGCCGCUAACAACCGUGCCCCUCUCCUAGCAUCCCCCAGCCUCUCUCCACUGACGGCA